RNAcentral lists this ribosomal RNA (253 nucleotides) under uncultured bacterium. RNAcentral describes it as "partial 16S ribosomal RNA". It matches the Rfam family "Bacterial small subunit ribosomal RNA", at positions 524 to 776 of the family's 1533-position model. The record is from RNAcentral.
UACGUAGGGGGCAAGCGUUGUCCGGAUUUAUUGGGCGUAAAGAGCGUGUAGGCGGCCACACAGGUCUGCUGUGAAAACUCGAGGCUCAACCUCGAGCUGUCGGUGGAAACCGUGUGGCUAGAGUCCGGAAGAGGAGAGUGGAAUUCCCGGUGUAGCGGUGAAAUGCGCAGAUAUCGGGAAGAACACCCGUGGCGAAGGCGGCUCUCUGGGACGGUACUGACGCUGAGGCGCGAAAGUGUGGGGAGCAAACGGG